Molecule: ribosomal RNA, 373 nt
Filed under: uncultured eukaryote
Lineage: Eukaryota
Description: SSU rRNA
Rfam family: Eukaryotic small subunit ribosomal RNA
Source: RNAcentral
AGCUCCAAUAGCGUAUAUUAAAGUUGUUGCGGUUAAAAGCUCGUAGUUGGAUUUCUGUUGAGGAUGGCCGGUCCGCUCUAUGAGCGUGUAUCUGGUUCAGCCUUGGCAUCCUCUUGGGGAACGUAGCUACGCUUGAUUGCGCGGUGCGGUAUUCAAGACUUUUACUUGAGGAAAUUAGAGUGUUCACGGCAGGCAUUCGCCUUGAAUAUAUUAGCAUGGAAUAAUAACAUAGGACCUUGGUUCUAUUUUGUUGGUUUCUAGAACUAAGGUAAUGAUUAAUAGGGAUAAUUGGGGGCAUUUGUAUUAACGCGUCAGAGGUGGAAUUCUUGGAUUGCGUUACGACAAACUACUGCGAAAGCAUUUGCCAAGGAUG